Molecule: RNA transcript, 3734 nt
Organism: Amblyraja radiata (thorny skate)
Lineage: Eukaryota; Metazoa; Chordata; Chondrichthyes; Rajiformes; Rajidae
Gene: mars2
Gene name: methionyl-tRNA synthetase 2, mitochondrial
Exons: 4
Source: RefSeq, a predicted model, not a curated record
GGGGGGGGGGGGGGGGGAGGGGAGGAGCCCGCGGUGUCGGGGUCGCUCGGUCAAUGUGGGGCUCCGUCAGGCCGCACCUGUCCUGCCGCCUCCCGUCUCUGGGCACCGGCUGCCUCCGGCUGGCGGCCCGGGAUGGUCGGGCCUUUGGAUGCCGCUUGGCCGCGGGUAAGGCGUGUGGACACAGUCCCCGCUCAGGCCCGGCGGCCGCUCCCGGCCCCGUCUUCAUCACCACCCCCAUCUUCUACGUGAAUGCGGCUCCUCACAUCGGCCACCUGUACUCGGCGGUGCUGGCCGACGCCAUGUAUCGGCUCAAGCUCUUACUGGGGACCGACGCAAAGUUCACAACAGGGACAGAUGAACAUGGCCUGAAGAUUCAACAAGCUGCAGAUGCAGCAGCUAAGAACCCAUUGGAGUUCUGUGCCAGCGUGUCUGAGGAGUUCAAGAAACUGUUCCACAAGUCCCUGGUUUCAUAUACAGAUUACAUUCGAACAACAGAGGAGCGUCACAAAACUGCAGUCCAAUAUUUUUGGUGUGUUCUGCGUGACAAGGGCUACCUCUACCAAGCAGCAUACGAAGGCUGGUAUUCCACUCCAGAUGAGACUUUCCUUUCUGAUUCACAAGUUUUAGAAAGAAAAGACACAAAUGGGAACAUUAUUAAAGUAUCUUUGGAAAGUGGUCACAAGGUAGAAUGGACUAAAGAAGAAAAUUACUUGUUCAAAUUGUCUGAGUUUAAACCCAAGUUGUUAGAGUGGUUAAAGAAGAACCCAGAAGUAAUAAUCCCUGAAAAAUUCUAUCACAUUGUUCUCCACUGGCUUCAGGAAGAAAUACCAGAUAUAUCUGUAUCACGACGAAGGAGCCGCUUGAAGUGGGGUAUUCCAGUUCCUGCUGAUUCAACACAAACAAUUUAUGUGUGGUUAGAUGCUUUAGUUAAUUACUUGACUGUAGCAGGUUAUCCAGAGGAUCAAAAUCUGCCUGCCCUACAUCACAUUAUUGGGAAGGAUAUUCUCAAGUUCCAUGCCAUCUAUUGGCCUGCUUUCCUGAUGGCAGCUGGUUUGCAGCUACCAAAACAAAUCUAUGUUCACUCCCAUUGGACAGUCAAUGGCCAAAAAAUGUCCAAGAGCCGUGGAAAUGUUGUUGACCCAAUGGAAAGAUUUUCUGUAUACACUGUUGAUGGUUUCAGAUAUUUUUUGCUGCGGCAAGGUGUGCCAGAUGCGGACUGUGACUAUUAUGAUGAUAAAGUGGUGAAAGUUUUAAAUGCAGACCUUGCAGAUUCAUUGGGAGGUCUCCUUAACCGUUGUACAGGCACAAGCAUAAAUCCUGAUCAAAUUUACACAACAUUUUUCAAUCACUGCUUUCCUGAAAGACGGCCUGAAGACAACAGGCCCCUGAAAAGCAGAGCAACAACUGAAGAUUAUAAAAUGAUUCAGAUGGUUGAGCAACUACCGAUGAAUGUUAAGGACAGCUUCGAAAAUCUACAAAUUUAUAAGGCCUUAGAAGCCAUUAAUUUUUGUGUUCGAUUAACAAAUGGCUUUUUCCAAAGACACACUCCGUGGAAACUUGAUGGAAAAAUUGCUGAGGAUUGCUGCUGGCUGGAAACAGUACUUCACAUUACUUUAGAGUGCCUACGCGUUUAUGGGAUCCUAUUGCAACCAGUGGUCCCAACAAUUGCAAAUCAACUGCUUUCACGGUUAGCUGUUGGCCCACAUGAACGAGACUGGGAACAUUUGAACUUCUUGGCCAGAUACCACAAUAAUAUUUGCAUAUUUGAAGGAAGAAAGUUAGGUCCAGAUACAGGAAUCUUGUUUAACAGAUUGGAGAGGAUACAUAAAGCUCCAAGCAAAACUCGAGGCAAUCAGGAGAUAAAGUUGCAACAUAUUCUGAAGUAAAUCUGAGAUGUUAAGUCACUCACCGUCCUGUGUGAAUAAUGAAUCCUGAAGAUAUUGUAAUGACAUCAGCUCUAACCCGAAAAAUUUAUGAACAUUGGUUUAUGACUGCUACAGGCUACAUGUAACUGACCUGUAUGAAUUCAUUUUUAAGUCUGAUAUAAUUUCAUUUACAAACUGUUCUUAAUAUCUAACCACCUAUAGCAGUAAUGUAUUUUUGUACAGAAUCUAAUCUAUUUCUAAACCAAAUUCAUGCUCUUUGAGUAGCAUUUUAAGUUUUCAGGUUAUUUUAUUUUCUUGUGUCAGAAUAACUGGUAUGUUGUAUGGAAAAAUCAUUCUUUUUUGCUGUUGCUUCCCUCAGUAUGGUCAGGUAUUUGCAGGUUUUAUUCAUACAGUUUUAUGAAUCUGUCUCUCUUUCUCUGCGACUUAGUAUGGUACAUUUUGGAAAUUGAUUUGCUUCAAAGCUACACUCGCCCUUAGUUAUGGCACAUCUCUAUAAUGCUGCCAUAAUUUUGUCUGUUUUAUCAAAUACUAGACGACCCGUUGGGUCCCAGAUAUCCUCGAGACGUUCAGUUAUUUGAAAUUCCAUCGAUCCCCUGGGUCCUGCUUAGCCAUCCUCCUCUGCUGUACCACUUGUCUGGCCUGUGGCUCAGCCAUCCUCCUCUCCUGUGCCUCUUGUGGGCGUGGCCCUCGUGUGGGCGUGGUCCUGGGUCGCUGGGCCUGCCAGGGCGUUGACUCAAUCCGGUCCUGCGAUUCUGGGGAUUCCAGCGGUUCCAGGUAUUCCAGCAUGCCCAUCUGCUGCUGGUCGAAGAGGCACAGCUCAUCAGCGCGGGCCGCCAGCCGGAUGGGAUCCUCGAAGCUCUCCCCCGCGAGCUGCUUGCGGAUGUCUCACGGCAGCUGCUGCAGGUAGGUAAAUUCAAAGAACGGGCAGGUGGUCGCCCAUGAGCGUGAGCAUCUCGCACAUGAGGGCCGAGGGCAUCCGGUCGCCGAGCCUGCCCAUGUUAAAGACCUGACAGGCGCGCUGCAUUCGGCUCAGCCCGUUGAUCCGGAACAGCAGCUCCUUGAAGCCUGUGUACUUACCCACCGCCGGCGGAUUAUCCAGGUAAGGAAUUACCCCGACCGGCUGUCUGCUGGUCAAGGGCGCUUACCACAUAGUGAUAGCGAGUCUCAUCGGCUGUAACACCGUGGAUGUAAAAUUGGGAUUCGGCCUGUCGAAACCAAACCCCCGGCUGCGAGGUCCAAAAUGUCAAUUGCUUUAGGAAGACUCUGUUGAGUCCGGCCUCGUCGGCCUUGUUUCCUCAAAAACUAGUCGGACACGAGUUGUGUGCAUUAGACAUGUUUAAUCUCUCUAAUACAGCUCCCUACUCCAAGGACACAGGCGUUGCCCGGCCUUAAAUACCAAAUCAGGUACCGACCCCGUGACUAGCGCCUCCCACACAAAGAUGCCGCCCUCUAGAGCCGAUGGUUCGUUGUGACCUUGGGUUGUCACCAGGUGCCGCCACACUGGAAGGCUGAAAAUACCUCAAAAUGAGCAGUUUCUCUGUGCCACAUUAUUGGCCUAAAUUUGGUAUUUGCUGGUCACUUGUGCAGCAUAGAGUGUAAAAGAUUCUAUAACUAGCUGAUAAAAUAUAAUGCCACUAUUUUGAUGCCUCAUUCUUUUUGAUUGCUUCAAGUUGACAAUUUACAAUUCUAGAAGGCAAAGGCUUCAAACCAAUAGCUGGACUUAAUUGUACUCAAAUUAUGAUUAUUUUAAUCUUUAGAAUGAUAAAAACUAUCCACCGGAUGGCGCUCUGAUGGCAGCCUCGCCAAGAGUCUGUCCUUUUCGUCUUUUCUUUGUUAUAUUUAGUGUGU